CGACCCAGGAACAGAAGGUUGCUAGCGCGUCAACCCCCGGGGGAAAGCAAUCAUUUUCCAUAUUGUAUUCACCGAUUCAUCCUCUCGUCUCUAUCUCCCUUCUUACCAUUCAUCCUCUUUUAAUCUCUCAUGGCCUCCCUCCGACGAUCCCUGGGCGGCGACGGCUAGAGCUCCGAGGGCGGUGGAGGCCGACGGGAUCGAGAACGGCCAGAAGGAGACGGAGCGGCAUCUCUCCCCGGCGAUCUCUGCACGGCAGCGGCUGGAGCACCGAGGGUGAUGGCGGAGCUAGGUGAGGAAGGAGAGGGCGGCACCACAACUUCAGAUCCGCCAGCUGGAAGAGUCAUCCAGAUUUUCUCCCCGGCGAGGAGGUGACAGGGUGGUGGGGCGGUGUUUCUCCCUGGUGACCCCUUGGCGACGGUGGCUAGAGCACCAAGGGCGACUACGGCUGGAGCAACGAGGGCGGCAAAGGCAGACAGGAUCAAGAGAGGCAAGGAGGAGACAAUUGUUGAUGGCAGUCAUCCAGAUUUUCAUGCAACCAUUCGAUCUAUUUUAUCCUUUUAUGCUUAAUAUGUACUAACAAGGUCAGAACAUCUCAAGUUUGUAGCACAUGCUCUAAGUUUCACGUAUAGAAAAAAACACAUGAAGUGCUUGAACACAA
Long non-coding RNA from Lolium perenne, 658 nucleotides. RefSeq lists it as uncharacterized. Lineage: Eukaryota; Viridiplantae; Streptophyta; Magnoliopsida; Poales; Poaceae. The record is from RefSeq and is a predicted model, not a curated record.